RNAcentral lists this ribosomal RNA (465 nucleotides) under Vreelandella stevensii. RNAcentral describes it as "partial 16S ribosomal RNA". It matches the Rfam family "Bacterial small subunit ribosomal RNA", at positions 338 to 795 of the family's 1533-position model. Lineage: Bacteria; Pseudomonadati; Pseudomonadota; Gammaproteobacteria; Oceanospirillales; Halomonadaceae. The record is from RNAcentral.
CCUACGGGGGGCUGCAGUGGGGAAUAUUGGACAAUGGGGGCAACCCUGAUCCAGCCAUGCCGCGUGUGUGAAGAAGGCCCUCGGGUUGUAAAGCACUUUCAGUGAGGAAGAACGCCUGGUGGUUAAUACCCAUCAGGAAAGACAUCACUCACAGAAGAAGCACCGGCUAACUCCGUGCCAGCAGCCGCGGUAAUACGGAGGGUGCGGGCGUUAAUCGGAAUUACUGGGCGUAAAGCGCGCGUAGGUGGCUUGAUAAGCCGGUUGUGAAAGCCCCGGGCUCAACCUGGGAACGGCAUCCGGAACUGUCAAGCUAGAGUGCAGGAGAGGAAGGUAGAAUUCCCGGUGUAGCGGUGAAAUGCGUAGAGAUCGGGAGGAAUACCAGUGGCGAAGGCGGCCUUCUGGACUGACACUGACACUGAGGUGCGAAAGCGUGGGUAGCAAACAGGAUUAGAUACCCUAGUAGUC